GUGUCAGCACCGCGGUAAUACGUAGGUAGCAAGCGUUAUCCGGAAUUAUUGGGCGUAAAGCGCGCGUAGGCGGUUUUUUAAGUCUGAUGUGAAAGCCCACGGCUCAACCGUGGAGGGUCAUUGGAAACUGGAAAACUUGAGUGCAGAGGAGGAAAGUGGAAUUCCAUGUGUAGCGGUGAAAUGCGCAGAGAUAUGGAGGAACACCAGUGGCGAAGGCGACUUUCUGGUCUGUAACUGACGCUGAUGUGCGAAAGCGUGGGGAUCAAACAGGAUUAGAAACCCCAGUAGUCC
This 291-nucleotide ribosomal RNA is filed under the name uncultured Staphylococcus sp. Its description in RNAcentral is "partial 16S ribosomal RNA". It matches the Rfam family "Bacterial small subunit ribosomal RNA", at positions 505 to 796 of the family's 1533-position model. The record is from RNAcentral. Lineage: Bacteria; Bacillati; Bacillota; Bacilli; Caryophanales; Staphylococcaceae.